GUUUGCUGAGUCUGUUUCCUGCCAGGACAGUCCUUUGUGACCAUAAGGAGUGGAGGAAAUAGCACCCUGGGGACAGACACCUCCGAAGCUCCAGGCUCUGGCUGCUUGAAGAGGGAGCCGAGUAGGAGAGGAUGGAGAUUCUGACUCAGAAGCCAAGAAACAGGGAACAGGCCCAGCAUGGGGAGGCAGCGGGUGCAAGAAGGGCAAGAAGUGACAAUUGAAGGCAAAGCCCAACUUAAGAACCCCCUUGGGAAGUCUGGG
This 261-nucleotide long non-coding RNA is filed under the name Equus caballus (horse). RNAcentral describes it as "lncRNA (ENSECAG00000044534.1)". The record is from RNAcentral. Lineage: Eukaryota; Metazoa; Chordata; Mammalia; Perissodactyla; Equidae.